GAUGAACGCUGGCGGCGUGCCUAAUACAUGCAAGUCGAGCGAACGGACGAGAAGCUUGCUUCUCUGAUGUUAGCGGCGGACGGGUGAGUAACACGUGGAUAACCUACCUAUAAGACUGGGAUAACUUCGGGAAACCGGAGCUAAUACCGGAUAAUAUUUUGAACCGCAUGGUUCAAAAGUGAAAGACGGUCUUGCUGUCACUUAUAGAUGGAUCCGCGCUGCAUUAGCUAGUUGGUAAGGUAACGGCUUACCAAGGCAACGAUGCAUAGCCGACCUGAGAGGGGGAUCGGCCACACUGGAACUGAGACACGGUCCAGACUCCUACGGGAGGCAGCAGGAGGGAAUCUUCCGCAAUGGGCGAAAGCCUGACGGAGCAACGCCGCGGGAGUGAUGAAGGUCUUCGGAUCGUAAAACUCUGUUAUUAGGGAAGAACAUAUGUGUAAGUAACUGUGCACAUCUUGAGGGUACCUAAUCAGAAAGCCACGGCUAACUACGU
This 496-nucleotide ribosomal RNA is filed under the name uncultured bacterium. RNAcentral describes it as "partial 16S ribosomal RNA". It matches the Rfam family "Bacterial small subunit ribosomal RNA", at positions 28 to 506 of the family's 1533-position model. The record is from RNAcentral.